GAUGAAGAACGUAGCGAAAUGCGAUAAGUAAUGUGAAUUGCAGAAUUCAGUGAAUCAUCGAAUCUUUGAACGCACAUUGCGCCCGCCAGUAUUCUGGCGGGCAUGCCUGUUCGAGCGUCAUUACAACCCUCAGGCCCCCGGGCCUGGCGUUGGGGAUCGGCGGAGCCCCCCGUGGGCACACGCCGUCCCCCAAAUGCAGUGGCGGUCCCGCCGCAGCUUCCAUCGCGUAGUAGCUAACACCUCGCGCCUGGAGAGCGGCGCGGCCACGCCGUAAAACACCCAACUCUUCUGAAGUUGACCUCGAAUCAGGUAGGAAUACCCGCUGAACUUAAGCAUAUCAAUAAGCGGAGGA
This 352-nucleotide unclassified non-coding RNA is filed under the name soil metagenome. Its description in RNAcentral is "partial contains 5.8S ribosomal RNA, internal transcribed spacer 2, and large subunit ribosomal RNA". The stretch from base 1 to 120 matches the Rfam family "5.8S ribosomal RNA", at positions 35 to 154 of the family's 154-position model. The record is from RNAcentral.